GGUGGCUCAGUGGUAGAGCGCUUGCCUUGCAUGCUGGAGGGCUGGGGUUCGAUUCCUCAACACCA
This 65-nucleotide transfer RNA is filed under the name Dipodomys ordii (Ord's kangaroo rat). It matches the Rfam family "tRNA". Rfam says of the family: Transfer RNA (tRNA) molecules are approximately 80 nucleotides in length. Their secondary structure includes four short double-helical elements and three loops (D, anti-codon, and T loops). Lineage: Eukaryota; Metazoa; Chordata; Mammalia; Rodentia; Heteromyidae. The record is from Rfam by way of RNAcentral.